This 520-nucleotide ribosomal RNA is filed under the name Bifidobacterium breve. Its description in RNAcentral is "bacterial SSU rRNA". It matches the Rfam family "Bacterial small subunit ribosomal RNA", at positions 181 to 711 of the family's 1533-position model. The record is from RNAcentral. Lineage: Bacteria; Bacillati; Actinomycetota; Actinomycetes; Bifidobacteriales; Bifidobacteriaceae.
GCUGAUCGCAUGGUGUUCUGGGAAAGCCUUUGCGGCAUGGGAUGGGGUCGCGUCCUAUCAGCUUGAUGGCGGGGUAACGGCCCACCAUGGCUUCGACGGGUAGCCGGCCUGAGAGGGCGACCGGCCACAUUGGGACUGAGAUACGGCCCAGACUCCUACGGGAGGCAGCAGUGGGGAAUAUUGCACAAUGGGCGCAAGCCUGAUGCAGCGACGCCGCGUGAGGGAUGGAGGCCUUCGGGUUGUAAACCUCUUUUGUUAGGGAGCAAGGCAUUUUGUGUUGAGUGUACCUUUCGAAUAAGCACCGGCUAACUACGUGCCAGCAGCCGCGGUAAUACGUAGGGUGCAAGCGUUAUCCGGAAUUAUUGGGCGUAAAGGGCUCGUAGGCGGUUCGUCGCGUCCGGUGUGAAAGUCCAUCGCUUAACGGUGGAUCCGCGCCGGGUACGGGCGGGCUUGAGUGCGGUAGGGGAGACUGGAAUUCCCGGUGUAACGGUGGAAUGUGUAGAUAUCGGAAAGAACACCA